RNAcentral lists this ribosomal RNA (253 nucleotides) under uncultured bacterium. Its description in RNAcentral is "partial 16S ribosomal RNA". It matches the Rfam family "Bacterial small subunit ribosomal RNA", at positions 524 to 776 of the family's 1533-position model. The record is from RNAcentral.
UACGGAGGGUGCGAGCGUUGUCCGGAAUCACUGGGCGUAAAGGGCGCGUAGGCGGCCCGAUAAGUAGGGGGUGAAAUCCUGCGGCUUAACCGCAGGGCUGCCUUCUAAACUGUCAGGCUCGAGCACAGUAGAGGCAGGUGGAAUUCCCGGUGUAGCGGUGGAAUGCGUAGAGAUCGGGAAGAACAUCAGUGGCGAAGGCGGCCUGCUGGGCUGUUGCUGACGCUGAGGCGCGACAGCGUGGGGAGCAAACAGG